AUGGGCUGCAAACUGCACCAUCAGGAGCAAAGUACUAUGUCCUCAGUAACUACCCACUUAGAUGUGCACGAAGUGGAGCAGCCAUCUACUAGGACCAUGUCUUGGAUUUUGCAGCCAGCAAAUAUUCAUCUGUGGGGCAUAAGCCAUAGAUUAUCUGUUGCAAAAUGUGCCCGGGCUGCUUUGCCAAGCUACCCUUUCCUGUGCCUUGGAGGUGAAGAAAAGAAAGGGGAUGAGUAUCCCAGUGCUGGAAGGCCGUGUUUUCCUGGGGUAAAACCAAGGUCCCCCUCUGGGGCAGGACACAUGUGCUGUCAGUGA
Molecule: long non-coding RNA, 315 nt
Filed under: Anas platyrhynchos platyrhynchos (common mallard)
Lineage: Eukaryota; Metazoa; Chordata; Aves; Anseriformes; Anatidae
Description: lncRNA (ENSAPLG00000023199.1)
Source: RNAcentral